AGUGAACGCUGGCGGUAGGCCUAACACAUGCAAGUCGAACGGCAGCACAGUAAGAGCUUGCUCUUACGGGUGGCGAGUGGCGGACGGGUGAGGAAUACAUCGGAAUCUACUUUUUCGUGGGGGAUAACGUAGGGAAACUUACGCUCAUACCGCAUACGACCUACGGGUGAAAGCAGGGGAUCUUCGGACCUUGCGCGAUUGAAUGAGCCGAUGUCGGAUUAGCUAGUUGGCGGGGUAAAGGCCCACCAAGGCGACGAUCCGUAGCUGGUCUGAGAGGAUGAUCAGCCACACUGGAACUGAGACACGGUCCAGACCCCUACGGGAGGCAGCAGUGGGGAAUAUUGGACAAUGGGCGCGAGCCUGAUCCAGCCAUACCGCGUGGGUGAAGAAGGCCUUCGGGUUGUAAAGCCCUUUUGUUGGGAAAGAAAAGCAGCAGGUUAAUACCCCGCUGUUCUGACGGUACCCAAAGAAGAAGCACCGGCUAACUUCGUG
This 492-nucleotide ribosomal RNA is filed under the name uncultured bacterium. RNAcentral describes it as "partial 16S ribosomal RNA". It matches the Rfam family "Bacterial small subunit ribosomal RNA", at positions 29 to 507 of the family's 1533-position model. The record is from RNAcentral.